CACCUCCGGUAUACCAGCACGUGCCAAUACCUCAGCCAACGGUUCACCAGCAACAGCCAGAUUGGUCGGCACGUAUUGCGGAGGUGAUUCAGGAACAAUUCGGCUUAAAGCCGAAGGUACAAACUUACACCUAUAGGACACCAUACCCGUCUACAUAUGACCUACUACCGUUUCCCCAUCGGUAUAAAGUUCCUGACUUCACCAAGUUCUCGGGGAUGGAUGAUACUUCA
RNAcentral lists this long non-coding RNA (230 nucleotides) under Setaria viridis. RNAcentral describes it as "long non-coding RNA (SVIR_LNC006999)". Lineage: Eukaryota; Viridiplantae; Streptophyta; Magnoliopsida; Poales; Poaceae. The record is from RNAcentral.